RNAcentral lists this ribosomal RNA (404 nucleotides) under Actinomycetes bacterium. RNAcentral describes it as "Actinobacteria bacterium partial 16S ribosomal RNA". It matches the Rfam family "Bacterial small subunit ribosomal RNA", at positions 355 to 776 of the family's 1533-position model. The record is from RNAcentral. Lineage: Bacteria; Bacillati; Actinomycetota; Actinomycetes.
UGGGGAAUAUUGGACAAUGGGCGCAAGCCUGAUCCAGCCAUGCCGCGUGAGUGAUGAAGGCCCUAGGGUUGUAAAGCUCUUUCACCGGUGAAGAUAAUGACGGUAACCGGAGAAGAAGCCCCGGCUAACUUCGUGCCAGCAGCCGCGGUAAUACGAAGGGGGCUAGCGUUGUUCGGAUUUACUGGGCGUAAAGCGCACGUAGGCGGACUUUUAAGUCAGGGGUGAAAUCCCGGGGCUCAACCCCGGAACUGCCUUUGAUACUGGAAGUCUUGAGUAUGGUAGAGGUGAGUGGAAUUCCGAGUGUAGAGGUGAAAUUCGUAGAUAUUCGGAGGAACACCAGUGGCGAAGGCGGCUCAAUGGACCAUUACUGACGCUGAGGUGCGAAAGCGUGGGGAGCAAACAGG